Molecule: ribosomal RNA, 546 nt
Filed under: Triticum aestivum (bread wheat)
Lineage: Eukaryota; Viridiplantae; Streptophyta; Magnoliopsida; Poales; Poaceae
Description: partial small subunit ribosomal RNA
Source: RNAcentral
AUGCAAAGCAAGAAUGUAAAAGUCAAUUACCUAUUACUUACCCGGAUUCAGAGCUCUCCAGGAGCAUUCGUAGAUUUGCCCCGUAGUGCGUCAGAUGCUGCCGCGUUCUACCGCGCCCAGGAGGGGAGCUCCACGAAGAAGGUGUUCUGGUCUCUGUAUGCUGAGGCCGGACAUCCGGUGCCCCUAAGCGACCAGUUGAAGCAGCUAGUCGAGCUCCACAAGGUCGCCGAACAGGCCAUGAGGGGCCUUAUAGAGCGGCUGUGGCCAUUGGAGGCCAUGCCUGGGAGCUACUUCGGCUUGGUGCAGCGGCUGGUGGAUGCCUGUCCGCGGCUUGAAGUUAUCAAGCACUCCGUCUGCAUUGAAGGGGUCCGUCGGGCCCUUGCCCGUGCUAAAGUGCACUGGGGCAAGCUGGAUGCGGAGAAGCUUGUGACGGACGGGCCGCCGAAGGGCCAUGAGCAUCGCACGCCCAAAAUGUAUUAUGAGGGCCUCCUGAAGGGUGCUCGCCGAAUAGCGGAUGAGUGCUCCAAGGAUGUAAUUUUUGAAUAG